GAUGAAGAACGUAGCGAAAUGCGAUAAGUAAUGUGAAUUGCAGAAUUCAGUGAAUCAUCGAAUCUUUGAACGCACAUUGCGCCCUCUGGUAUUCCGGGGGGCAUGCCUGUCCGAGCGUCAUUACAACCCUCAAGCUUUGCUUGGUAUUGGACAUUGCCAGUUUCUGGCAGGUCUUAAAAUCAGUGGCGGUGCCAUUUGGCUUCAAGCGUAGUAAUUCUUCUCGCUUUGGAGAUCCAGGUGGUUACUUGCCAAUAACCCCCAAUUUUUUCAGGUUGACCUCGGAUCAGGUAGGGAUACCCGCUGAACUUAAGCAUAUCAAUAAGCGGAGGA
RNAcentral lists this unclassified non-coding RNA (330 nucleotides) under soil metagenome. RNAcentral's name for it is "partial contains 5.8S ribosomal RNA, internal transcribed spacer 2, and large subunit ribosomal RNA". The stretch from base 1 to 120 matches the Rfam family "5.8S ribosomal RNA", at positions 35 to 154 of the family's 154-position model. The record is from RNAcentral.